This 261-nucleotide ribosomal RNA is filed under the name uncultured archaeon. RNAcentral's name for it is "partial 16S ribosomal RNA". It matches the Rfam family "Archaeal small subunit ribosomal RNA", at positions 748 to 1008 of the family's 1478-position model. The record is from RNAcentral.
CAGCCGUAAACAAUGUGCGUUAGGUGUGUCGGUAACCACGCGUUACUGAUGCGCCGAAGAGAAAUCGUGAAACGCACCACCUGGGAAGUACGGUCGCAAGGCUGAAACUUAAAGGGAAUUGGCGGGGAGCACCACAACGGGUGGAGCCUGCGGUUUAAUUGGACUCAACGCCGGAAAUCUCACCGGAUAAGACAGCUGAAUGAUUGUCAAUCUGAAGGUUUUACAUGACUAGCUGAGAGGAGGUGCAUGGCGUCAGUGACU